RNAcentral lists this ribosomal RNA (429 nucleotides) under Gemmatimonadota bacterium. Its description in RNAcentral is "Gemmatimonadetes bacterium partial 16S ribosomal RNA". It matches the Rfam family "Bacterial small subunit ribosomal RNA", at positions 355 to 776 of the family's 1533-position model. Lineage: Bacteria; Pseudomonadati; Gemmatimonadota. The record is from RNAcentral.
UAGGGAAUCUUCGGCAAUGGACGAAAGUCUGACCGAGCAACGCCGCGUGUGUGAAGAAGGUUUUCGGAUCGUAAAACUCUGUUGUUAGAGAAGAACAAGGACGUUAGUAAUUGAACGUCCCCUGACGGUAUCUAACCUGAAAGCCACGGCUAACUACGUGCCAGCAGCCGCGGUAAUACGUAGGUGGCAAGCGUUGUCCGGAUUUAUUGUGCGUAAAGCGAGCGCAGGCGGUUUCUUAAGUCUGAUGUGAAAGCCCCCGGCUCAACCAGUGAAGGUCAUUGGAAACUGGGAGACUUGAGUGCAGAAGAGGAGAGUGGAAUUCCAUGUGUAGCGGUGAAAUGCGUAGAUAUAUGGAAGAACACAAGUGGCGAGGGCGGCUCUCUGGUCUGUAACUGACGCUGAGGCUCGAAAGCAUGGGGAGCAAACAGG